GAUGAACGCUGGCGGCGUGCCUAAUACAUGCAAGUCGAGCGAACGGAUGAGAAGCUUGCUUCUCUGAUGUUAGCGGCGGACGGGUGAGUAACACGUGGAUAACCUACCUAUAAGACUGGGAUAACUUCGGGAAACCGGAGCUAAUACCGGAUAAUAUUUUGAACCGCAUGGUUCAAAAGUAAAAGACGGUCUUGCUGUCACUUAUAGAUGGAUCCGCGCUGCAUUAGCUAGUUGGUAAGGUAACGGCUUACCAAGGCAACGAUGCAUAGCCGACCUGAGAGGGUGAUCGGCCACACUGGAACUGAGACACGGUCCAGACUCCUACGGGAGGCAGCAGUAGGGAAUCUUCCGCAAAGGGCGAAAGCCUGACGGAGCAACGCCGCGUGAGUGAUGAAGGUCUUCGGAUCGUAAAACUCUGUUAUUAGGGAAGAACAUAUGUGUAAGUAACUGUGCACAUCUUGACGGUACCUAAUCAGAAAGCCACGGCUAACUACGUG
This 497-nucleotide ribosomal RNA is filed under the name uncultured bacterium. Its description in RNAcentral is "partial 16S ribosomal RNA". It matches the Rfam family "Bacterial small subunit ribosomal RNA", at positions 28 to 507 of the family's 1533-position model. The record is from RNAcentral.